RNAcentral lists this ribosomal RNA (460 nucleotides) under uncultured bacterium. RNAcentral's name for it is "partial 16S ribosomal RNA". It matches the Rfam family "Bacterial small subunit ribosomal RNA", at positions 338 to 795 of the family's 1533-position model. The record is from RNAcentral.
CCUACGGGUGGCUGCAGUGAGGAAUAUUGGUCAAUGGACGAGAGUCUGAACCAGCCAAGUAGCGUGAAGGAUGACUGCCCUAUGGGUUGUAAACUUCUUUUAUCAGGGAAUAAAACAGGGUAUGCAUACCCUCUUGUGUGUACCAUAUGAAAAAGGAUCGGCUAACUCCGUGCCAGCAGCCGCGGUAAUACGGGGGAUCCGAGCGUUAUCCGGAUUUAUUGGGUUUAAAGGGAGCGUAAGUGGAUUGUUAAGUCAGUGGCGAAAGUUCGCGGCUCAACCGUAAAAUUGGGGUUGAAACUGGCAGUCUCGAGUACAGGAGAGGUGGGCGGAAUUCGUGGUGUAGCGGUGAAAUGCUUAGAUAUCACGCAGAACUCCGAUUGCGAAGGCAGCUCACUGGACUGCAACUGACACUGAUGCUCGAAAGUGUGGGUAUCAAACAGGAUUAGAUACCCGGGUAGUC